This 348-nucleotide ribosomal RNA is filed under the name Acinetobacter baumannii. Its description in RNAcentral is "bacterial SSU rRNA". It matches the Rfam family "Bacterial small subunit ribosomal RNA", at positions 943 to 1291 of the family's 1533-position model. Lineage: Bacteria; Pseudomonadati; Pseudomonadota; Gammaproteobacteria; Moraxellales; Moraxellaceae. The record is from RNAcentral.
GGUUUAAUUCGAUGCAACGCGAAGAACCUUACCUGGUCUUGACAUCCACAGAACUUUCCAGAGAUGGAUUGGUGCCUUCGGGAACUGUGAGACAGGUGCUGCAUGGCUGUCGUCAGCUCGUGUUGUGAAAUGUUGGGUUAAGUCCCGCAACGAGCGCAACCCUUAUCCUUUGUUGCCAGCGGUUAGGCCGGGAACUCAAAGGAGACUGCCAGUGAUAAACUGGAGGAAGGUGGGGAUGACGUCAAGUCAUCAUGGCCCUUACGGCCAGGGCUACACACGUGCUACAAUGGCAUAUACAAAGAGAAGCGACCUCGCGAGAGCAAGCGGACCUCAUAAAGUAUGUCGUAG